Long non-coding RNA from Rhododendron vialii, 1259 nucleotides. RefSeq lists it as uncharacterized. The transcript is spliced from 4 exons. Lineage: Eukaryota; Viridiplantae; Streptophyta; Magnoliopsida; Ericales; Ericaceae. The record is from RefSeq and is a predicted model, not a curated record.
CUUUUUCGUUUUUUGUUCCUUUCCUUCGUCUUUGUGCUGUCCAAAAAAUGCUACACCUUUUGCAACUAUUUGUUGAUCCUUAUUUUUGUUUUGUCAGCAAUCUAUUCGAUGUGCAUGUGUAACUAAUUUCUCUGUUCUGCUGUUUAGUUUUUGCCAAAAAUGUGAAAAGGAAUUUUCAAGUAAUUUGCCCCUAUAGUGGUGUUUGUGUUACUAAAUUGUUGUUCCGCCCCUGUAGCUGUGUAAAAAUUGAAGAUUUUAUUACAUUUAGUAUUUGGCUUUGAUGGGGAUCAUUAUGGCAGACCCUUGGUGGUGUUGGGAAUCGAGGGGAAAGCUGUUAGGGAUAAUAAGAUUAUGGGUGAAAAGGAAUGGGAAGCUAGGGGAAUCAUCUAUUAAGUUCAUAAUUAUGCACACAAAAGCGAAAAAAGAUUUAGUAUUUUCAUGCUAAUUGUUUGAUUGGUUGAUGUUGUCGUUGAAUUUUGGUUACUCCAUCAAGCCUCCUGGGAUGGGGUGUCCAACUUGAGCCUCCACUUUGUUCUCCUUCGGAAGGAAUUGAUUUCCGCUCUUAUUCAAGCAAGACACCACAAUGAUUGUUUAGAUUGAUUACUUUGUUCAUGUUUAUUUUUUGGAAAAUGUUGUGAAUAACUUGAGAAGCAUAGGGCUUGGAAUGGGAAAGCUUGGCACGAUGAUUGUAGGCUUACACCAAUCAAUUGGAGCAUAAAGUGUUUCAAAUAAGUGGCUCAAAACAUAAAAGGUGGCAUUACUACUGGACAACACCGUUCCAGGUAGUCGGCAAGAACAAGGGGUGUAUAUAUGGUGAAGUGCUGAAGACAUAACAAUGGUUCCAUCGUCACUUUCAAACUAUAGUUUGCCGAAAAAAGUGGCUAGGUUUUUCUGUUCAAAAUGUUUAAGCUGAAUAUAAUAUCGACAUUAUAUGAUAUCAUGUUGAUGAGGAGUUGCUUUUUUAGAGGCCAGCAUAGGGAUUGCAGCAGUCUCUGUAGUAUUGCUCUAUUAGUUGAUAGAUAUAAUAUUUAGAUGAUUUUCCUCAAAAGUUCAAUUCUUUUAGUACCUUUGAAAUUUGAUUGUCAUUAUUGGUGGUGGUAGCCAUUUGUAAGUGAAACACACAAAGGGUGAUCCCAAAGUAUGUAAAUAGUCAUUGCAUCCUCAGCAGAGGGACAGAUUGGUGUUUUCAGACUCUUAUUUUGAUGAAUGUUGGUUAUGUUGUCUUUUGUAUCAUUGUAUGUCGUAAAACAGAACAUAAG